Molecule: long non-coding RNA, 641 nt
Organism: Cyprinus carpio carpio
Lineage: Eukaryota; Metazoa; Chordata; Actinopteri; Cypriniformes; Cyprinidae
Source: Ensembl
AACUGAAGCGUGGUCAAGCGCCUCUAGCGUCACUGACAUGAGAUGUUUAUCGCUUUGAAAUCACGUUCAAGAAGUCUCAUUCAGCACACAUCGCGAUACUUGCCAUCAGUUUACAAGAGCCGCAGGUUGGGUGAGUUAUACAGUCUAUGCUGAAAAGACAUAAAGGAAGCAGUCACCCCAGUCGUGUUUGUGGAGAGGUAUUCCUUCAGAAAUGGAGAAGACAGAAAGCUGCAGAGGCAGGAUUGUUUGCACAUAACACUGUAGAUCUCCGUCAUGCACAAGGACUCACCUAUUUAACUCUUUAUCCCCCCCGCCACACACACACAGAAAUGGUUCCUGGAUCAGUGACUUAAGACUUUGCAGUGAUUUGAUUUCUGCAGAAGAUGUAACUUUGUUUUAAUUAAGCUUAUAAUGAAUACAUUGUGACCUUCCAGCAACCCAUAUACUGUACUGUAUACAGAACCAGUGAUGACAACAAUAGUUAAAAAUAGUAUUUAUCCUGUUGAUAAAGCAUUGUGUUCUCUUUUUCAAGCUUCAUACAGUAAACUUUACUUCUGGUGCUUUUAUCAUAAAAAAGCAUCAGUUCUCAUCAGGAGUUUUAGUAAAGGACAUAUUCAUGCACAGCAAUCCCCUAGUUCCAG